AAUUUACAACUGCUGUUACAGAAUUUGCCACUGCAGUUAAUAUUUUAACAUCAUGGCUCAUGUCCCUGACAUGCCCAGAGAGGCUCUACUUACUAUUCUGCAGGCCUUCCAGAGGACCCACUGCGCAGAGUCCUAUGCUGCGCUGCUUCACAGUGUCCAAGACGCCCAGGAGCCUCAGGAGGGUUCGGGGGCCCACCAGAGGACGUCGUGCCCGCCGUUCCAGGCCGCCACCCAGAUUGUCCCCCAGUCCGGUGCGGAGAGCCAGGGCUGUGCCACCAGCUGCUACCUGUCCGGGGCCGAGUGAGGCUGGCCCCCUGCGGAGGAAUCCGGGUUCCUGUAGAAGAAGGAGCGGGGAGAGGC
Pelobates cultripes (western spadefoot toad) is the source of this 360-nucleotide non-coding RNA. Lineage: Eukaryota; Metazoa; Chordata; Amphibia; Anura; Pelobatidae. The record is from the annotation of a GenBank genome assembly.